AAUAGAUACCCGGGUAGUCCACGCCGUAAACGAUGAGUGCUAAGUGUUAGAGGGUUUCCGCCCUUUAGUGCUGCAGCUAACGCAUUAAGCACUCCGCCUGGGGAGUACGGCCGCAAGGCUGAAACUCAAAGGAAUUGACGGGGGCCCGCACAAGCAGUGGAGCAUGUGGUUUAAUUCGAAGCAACGCGAAGAACCUUACCAGGUCUUGACAUCCUCUGCCAACCCUAGAGAUAGGGCGUUCCCCUUCGGGGGACAGAGUGACAGGUGGUGCAUGGUUGUCGUCAGCUCGUGUCGUGAGAUGUUGGGUUAAGUCCCGCAACGAGCGCAACCCUUGAUCUUAGUUGCCAGCAUUUGGUUGGGCACUCUAAGGUGACUGCCGGUGACAAACCGGAGGAAGGUGGGGAUGACGUCAAAUCAUCAUGCCCCUUAUGACCUGGGCUACACACGUGCUACAAUGGAUGGUACAAAGAGCUGCGAACCCGCGAGGGUAAGCGAAUCUCAUAAAGCCAUUCUCAGUUCGGA
RNAcentral lists this ribosomal RNA (522 nucleotides) under uncultured bacterium. Its description in RNAcentral is "bacterial SSU rRNA". It matches the Rfam family "Bacterial small subunit ribosomal RNA", at positions 777 to 1297 of the family's 1533-position model. The record is from RNAcentral.